This 709-nucleotide long non-coding RNA is filed under the name Stylophora pistillata. RNAcentral's name for it is "uncharacterized LOC111342204, transcript variant X1". The record is from RNAcentral. Lineage: Eukaryota; Metazoa; Cnidaria; Anthozoa; Scleractinia; Pocilloporidae.
AAGUAUCCACAGUAACAUGACGUAAAUGGUGGUCACGAAACUGCAGAAAAAGGGGUCUCUUGUGGAUGUUUCGUCCAGUCUACGUAGAAAAACUGGCUUUGUUUGUCGCUUUUUAUAUUACCCCUAAUCUGUGGAACCUGUAUUGAGCGGUCAACCUAGAUGAAGCGGCCAUUCCCCGUGGAUGACAGCUAAAUACAGAUUAAAGUGUAGUCUCUUUUCCAAGCGCCCGCCCUAACUACGAUUACAUUAGAGAGCUUAAGCUCCAGACGUUCCUGAGGUCACGAACGCUUACCGGAAGUCAUUAGAGGAACUAUGUACAUACUACGCAUAUCAUGACGUUCGCGUGGUCACGUCGCAGACGCCAGAACGCCACUUUUCAGGUUGAAGAAAUGUUCGCGUAUGGGCAACCCUGGCCAAAAUCCAACUGAUGGUGCAUGCUUUGAGUGGAAGAAGAUUUAAUUGCAAAUUUGUGGAGUGGUUUCUUCCACAAUACUCAAGAGGUCCAGGCACCAAAAAUAUGUCUCAGCUUGUCUUCACUGCUGCAGAAUUUCUUAUUGACCUAUUUUUUUUAAGUUUGGGCCACCCUUGGGUAAAGUUGCCUAAAGGAAGAAGAAAGUAUCAGAUACUUGGCGGGAGAUGGCACUGAGAAGACAAAGACGGUGAUAAAGGGAGCAACGAAGACGAUGACAAGGAUGCCAUCGAUGGACCU